GACAGAACCAGGGCUAUCAAAGGAGGCUGACUUUGUACUAUCUGAUAUGCAUGUGUUUGUGGCCUGUGAGUCUAUGAUGUAAGGCUCAGUGUCCUUACAAAGCAGCAUUCUCUCAUCCAUUUUUCUUCCCCUGUUUUCUUUCAGACUGUGGCUUCACCUCCGAGUCUUACCAGCAAGGGGUCCUGUCUGCCACCAUCCUCUAUGAGAUCUUGCUAGGGAAGGCCACCUUGUAUGCCGUGCUGGUCAGUGCCCUCGUGCUGAUGGCCAUGGUCAAGAGAAAGGAUUCCAGAGGCUAGCUCCAAAACCAUCCCGGGUCAUUCUUCAUCCACACCCAGGAUUCUCCUGUACCUGCUCCCAAUCUGUGUUCCUAAAAGUGAUUCUCACUCUGCUUCUCAUCUCCUACUUACAUGAAUACUUCCCUCUUUUUUCUGUUUCCCUGAAGAUUGAGCUCCCAACCCCCAAGUAUGAAAUAGGCUAAACCAAUAAAAAAUGGUGUGUUAGGCCUG
Molecule: long non-coding RNA, 506 nt
Filed under: Pan troglodytes (chimpanzee)
Lineage: Eukaryota; Metazoa; Chordata; Mammalia; Primates; Hominidae
Description: long non-coding RNA NONPTRT015914
Source: RNAcentral